AGUGAACGCUGGCGGUAGGCCUAACACAUGCAAGUCGAACGGCAGCACAGUAAGAGCUUGCUCUUACGGGUGGCGAGUGGCGGACGGGUGAGGAAUACAUCGGAAUCUACUUUUUCGUGGGGGAUGACGUAGGGAAACUUACGCUAAUACCGCAUACGACCUACGGGUGAAAGCAGGGGAUCUUCGGACCUUGCGCGAUUGAAUGAGCCGAUGUCGGAUUAGCUAGUUGGCGGGGUAAAGGCCCACCAAGGCGACGAUCCGUAGUUGGUCUGAGAGGAUGAUCAGCCACACUGGAACUGAGACACGGUCCAGACUCCUACGGGAGGCAGCAGUGGGGAAUAUUGGACAAUGGGCGCAAGCCUGAUCCAGCCAUACCGCGUGGGUGAAGAAGGCCUUCGGGUUGUAAAGCCCUUUUGUUGGGAAAGAAAAGCAGCAGGUUAAUACCCCGCUGUUCUGACGGUACCCAAAGAAUAAGCACCGGCUAACUUCGUG
RNAcentral lists this ribosomal RNA (492 nucleotides) under uncultured bacterium. RNAcentral describes it as "partial 16S ribosomal RNA". It matches the Rfam family "Bacterial small subunit ribosomal RNA", at positions 29 to 507 of the family's 1533-position model. The record is from RNAcentral.